CCUUCCGGGCUGGCGCACGAGCGGCCGCGCGCGGGCCGCCCGCCCCCUGUGCCGUAGCGGCGCUUGGGUUUCGCCCUUGGCUUCCAUCUGGCGCCCGCGAACGAGCGCCGAGGCCGCUGGGCCGGCACCUGCACGGUCGCCCCGCCGCCCCGGGUCCUCGGACGGCACGGCUGGUGGCCGCGCCCAGGCCUCCGACUUCUUCGAAACCGCUGCAGUUUCAGAUCUCGGGAUCUGAGGGUCGUUUCAGCGGUUGCUGGCGAGGACGUCUAGGCCCGCAGUCGCUGGAACAUUGGUUACACGGCAGAGAAUGAGGAAUGGACCCCUUUCUGUUUCACACGUGGGGCUUGAGGAUACCAUACAGAAGCUUGCUAUGUUUUCAGCCACAUCAGUUGUGAGCAGAGGGGACUUCACAGGGGGUGAAGACGAUCAGCUGUGUGAAGGACUUACUGCCACAGGCUUCGGCUCGGCGCCUCUACUUACCAGCCUGCAGGUUAUCUGCGUCUGGUCUGUAGCACAAUCUGGAAUAUAUUCAGUACCUUGAAGGUGGCAGAUCCAGGUUAAAAAGACAGAAGUCAAAGUAAGAGCCUUCUAGGGUGACCUCACAUGGGGCUUUGAUGGUAUUCAUAGAUGUCUGCUCUAUCAAGAUACCACUCACCACCUCUCCCAUCACCUCUGUUACCCAGGAAAGGAUGUGAUUUGCAACCCAGAAACAGAGGCAGGAAGUCUGGAAAGUCACCAAUCUGUGGGUAUCUAAUUUGUCAUGUGAAAAAGGGCACAGGCCUCGGGGUCUAACCAGACCUUGAUCUCCAGGUCCACUUCUUAAUACCCAAAUGACCUUCAGAGUCCUUUGUUUCCUCAUCUGUAAAAUCAACAACAUUCACGCAUUCGAUCGUUUUUUAUUAAUUCUCUAUGCGCUACGUGCUGUGAAUCCCAGCGACGAACAAGAUAAACCCGUGUUCUUGCCCUCCUAGAGCUUAGCACCACUGCUGCCCUGCCCCAAAUAA
Lagenorhynchus albirostris (white-beaked dolphin) is the source of this 1004-nucleotide long non-coding RNA. RefSeq lists it as uncharacterized. The transcript is spliced from 3 exons. Lineage: Eukaryota; Metazoa; Chordata; Mammalia; Artiodactyla; Delphinidae. The record is from RefSeq and is a predicted model, not a curated record.